Molecule: small nucleolar RNA, 217 nt
Organism: Lolium perenne
Lineage: Eukaryota; Viridiplantae; Streptophyta; Magnoliopsida; Poales; Poaceae
Product: small nucleolar RNA U3
Source: RefSeq, a predicted model, not a curated record
ACGACCUUACUUGAACAGGAUCUGUUCUAUAGGAUCGUACCGUUGCAUCCUUGACUAAUAAGGAGGCAAGCACUUAAGCUUGGUUGAUGACAUCUGACCUGUGGGCCAGAGCGUGAUUAACGGCUCGGACCAGUUGCCGCUGAUCUCAUGGCUGUAGAUGAUCGUUCCUGUUCAGCUUAGGCUGAAUCAGGGUGGCCCACAGGUUGUCUGACAGGCU